CUGAAUUUUAAUUAGGUCAGUAUCAGUUGUGUGAGGUCAUAGUUUUGUGAAGCUAAGUGACACAACUUUGUGUGUAAUCCAGAUAAUUCCAGUACACUUCUUCACUGUGAGGCUCAACAAGACUGUGGCUUGUGCUGGACGCUGCUUUUCUCUCUGUGCCCAGUUUUUGCAGUUUUAUCUUCUCUCCUCUCCUCUGUUGUGGUUUAUCACCUCUGCCAGAGAAAAGCUAAAGAACUUCAUUGUGAUCAGCAACGACUUGACUCUAGAGGUCAAACAAGACUGAAUCAGGAUGAAGAUGUGUGUUAUGCUGCGCUGGACUUUCAUCAGGCAUCACAGAGACCAAAGCAGAAGAAAGCUGAGUGUUCAGACUUCAGCACUUACUCUGCCAUCAACACUUCUCAGUUGUAAUGAAGAAGGAAUGAUUCAUUUGCAGGGAUAUUUAGAUUCCCUAUUAAAAGCAGAGC
This is a long non-coding RNA of Monopterus albus (swamp eel), 464 nucleotides long. RefSeq lists it as uncharacterized. The record is from RefSeq and is a predicted model, not a curated record. The transcript has 3 exons. Lineage: Eukaryota; Metazoa; Chordata; Actinopteri; Synbranchiformes; Synbranchidae.